GACGAACGCUGGCGGCGUGCUUAACACAUGCAAGUCGAACGGAAAGGCCCUGCUUUUGUGGGGUGCUCGAGUGGCGAACGGGUGAGUAACACGUGAGUAACCUGCCCUUGACUUUGGGAUAACUUCAGGAAACUGGGGCUAAUACCGGAUAGGAGCUCCUGCUGCAUGGUGGGGGUUGGAAAGUUUCGGCGGUUGGGGAUGGACUCGCGGCUUAUCAGCUUGUUGGUGGGGUAGUGGCUUACCAAGGCUUUGACGGGUAGCCGGCCUGAGUGGGUGACCGGCCACAUGGGGACUGAGAUACGGCCCAGACUCCUACGGGAGGCAGCAGUGGGGAAUAUUGCACAAUGGGCGGAAGCCUGAUGCAGCAACGCCGCGUGCGGGAUGACGGCCUUCGGGUUGUAAACCGCUUUCGCCUGUGACGAAGCGUGAGUGACGGUAAUGGGUAAAGAAGCACCGGCUAACUACGUG
Molecule: ribosomal RNA, 468 nt
Filed under: uncultured bacterium
Lineage: Bacteria
Description: partial 16S ribosomal RNA
Rfam family: Bacterial small subunit ribosomal RNA
Source: RNAcentral